GUACUUGCUUCCGCAGCACAAACAGAUUAGCAUGUCCCCUAUGCAAGGAUGACACACAAAUCUGUGGAAUGUUCCAUAUUUUG
This 83-nucleotide small nuclear RNA is filed under the name Heterocephalus glaber (naked mole-rat). Lineage: Eukaryota; Metazoa; Chordata; Mammalia; Rodentia; Bathyergidae. The record is from RNAcentral.